UACGGAGGGUGCGAGCGUUGUCCGGAAUCACUGGGCGUAAAGGGCGCGUAGGUGGCUUGGCAAGCGUGUGGUGAAAGCCCGGGGCUCAACCCCGGGUCUGCCGUGCGAACUGCUAUGGCUUGAGCACUGUAGAGGCAGGUAGAAUUCCGGGUGUAGCGGUGGAAUGCGCAGAUAUCAGGAGGAACACCAAUAGCGAAGGCAGCUCGCUGGGACGGUACUGACGCUGAGGCGCGAAAGCGUGGGGAGCGAACAGG
Molecule: ribosomal RNA, 254 nt
Filed under: uncultured bacterium
Lineage: Bacteria
Description: partial 16S ribosomal RNA
Rfam family: Bacterial small subunit ribosomal RNA
Source: RNAcentral